AAAACAAAUAUGAACGCUAACUUUGGCCAGUGUUUGUGACUAUGUGGCUACUAAAAAAGACUAAACAUACCCCAUGUUCAAUACCUUGGGUUGUCUACUUUUUCAAAUGGUAUGCCAUUAUGGGGGUAAUUCUCAUUCCUGGGCUACCACACCGUCUCAAAGGUAACAUUACUAAUCUGGCAAGUUUCAAUUUGAAAAUGGAACGUUCUAUAUUUGACCCUGUAACUUUCCAAAACACCAUAAAACCUAUUAAUGGGGGGUACUGUUGUACUCGUGAGACAUCGCUGAUUACAAAU
RNAcentral lists this long non-coding RNA (296 nucleotides) under Pelobates cultripes (western spadefoot toad). Lineage: Eukaryota; Metazoa; Chordata; Amphibia; Anura; Pelobatidae. The record is from RNAcentral.